Molecule: long non-coding RNA, 404 nt
Organism: Sapajus apella (tufted capuchin)
Lineage: Eukaryota; Metazoa; Chordata; Mammalia; Primates; Cebidae
Exons: 2
Source: RefSeq, a predicted model, not a curated record
UAGAAAGAAGUUGCAAGAGGAAACUAGGAAUUUCCUUUCAAACUCCAUCAAACCAUCCCAUUUGAAUGUUUUUUAAAAAAAUUCCAAAAAUUCUUCCUGUGAGGAUGCAUUGGAUAAAGCAGGUCAAAGUGGCUGAAGAGGGCUAAGCAAGCCUCUUGGGGAAGAUGGUAUCAUCUGAUCCAUACACAUGUCACAUUCAGAACAUUCUGCAUGGUUGCUGCUGAGCUCCCAUCUGUCAGAUCUCAACAGUGAGAACAAAGACUAGAGAUCUGAGUAAUUCAAGAAACAUCCAUUUACUAGCUGGCAAGACAAAUAAAAUUAGGAGGAGCCACUUUCUUCCUGCUACAUUAUUGAUACGUGUUCUACCGGCCAUACCGCAUUUUACAUAAAAUGCAUUCAACUAC